ACAACAUUCGGACCGUCGGUCUACUGAGCAAUAUCACCCGCUCGGUGGAAGAUCUUCCCUUUGUCGU
Bombyx mori (domestic silkworm) is the source of this 67-nucleotide non-coding RNA. NCBI's taxonomy places the organism in Eukaryota, Metazoa, Arthropoda, Insecta, Lepidoptera, Bombycidae. The record is from Rfam.